GUGGUCAAGCUGUACAGGUUUCUGGCCAGACCAACCAACUCCACCUUUAACUAAGUUGUGUUGAAGAGGUUGUUCAUGAGUCACACCAGCCGGCCACUUCUGUCCCUUUACCGGAUAAUCCUGAAGAUGAAGCUGCCUGGCUACAGUCUCUUACACACAUCUA
Long non-coding RNA from Prionailurus viverrinus (fishing cat), 163 nucleotides. RefSeq lists it as uncharacterized. The transcript has 3 exons. The record is from RefSeq and is a predicted model, not a curated record. NCBI's taxonomy places the organism in Eukaryota, Metazoa, Chordata, Mammalia, Carnivora, Felidae.